GACGAACGCUGGCGGCGUGCUUAACACAUGCAAGUCGAACGGAAAGGCCCUGCUUGCAGGGUACUCGAGUGGCGAACGGGUGAGUAACACGUGGGUGAUCUGCCCUGCACUUCGGGAUAAGCUUGGGAAACUGGGUCUAAUACCGGAUAGGACCGCACUUUAGUGUGUGUGGUGGAAAGUUUUUUCGGUGUAGGAUGAGCUCGCGGCCUAUCAGCUUGUUGGUGGGGUAAUGGCCUACCAAGGCGGCGACGGGUAGCCGGCCUGAGAGGGUGUACGGCCACAUUGGGACGGAGAUACGGCCCAGACUCCUACGGGAGGCAGCAGUGGGGAAUAUUGCACAAUGGGCGCAAGCCUGAUGCAGCGACGCCGCGUGGGGGAUGAAGGCAUUCGGGUUGUAAACUCCUUUCGCUAGGGACGAAGCUUUGUUGUGACGGUACCUAGAUAAGAAGCACCGGCUAACUACGUG
Molecule: ribosomal RNA, 466 nt
Filed under: uncultured bacterium
Lineage: Bacteria
Description: partial 16S ribosomal RNA
Rfam family: Bacterial small subunit ribosomal RNA
Source: RNAcentral